This 345-nucleotide unclassified non-coding RNA is filed under the name soil metagenome. RNAcentral's name for it is "partial contains 5.8S ribosomal RNA, internal transcribed spacer 2, and large subunit ribosomal RNA". The stretch from base 1 to 119 matches the Rfam family "5.8S ribosomal RNA", at positions 35 to 154 of the family's 154-position model. The record is from RNAcentral.
GAUGAAGAACGCAGUGAAAUGCGAUACGUAAUGUGAAUUGCAAAUUCAGUGAAUCAUCGAGUCUUUGAACGCACAUUGCGCCCCCUGGUAUUCCGGGGGGCAUGCCUGUCCGAGCGUCAUUGCUGCCCUCAAGCACGGCUUGUGUGUUGGGCCCCGUCCUCCGAUUCCGGGGGACGGGCCCGAAAGGCAGCGGCGGCACCGCGUCCGGUCCUCGAGCGUAUGGGGCUUUGUCACCCGCUCUGUGGGCCCGGCCGGCGCUUGCCGAUCAACCCAAAUUUUUAUCCAGGUUGACCUCGGAUCAGGUAGGGAUACCCGCUGAACUUAAGCAUAUCAAUAAGCGGAGGA